AAUGCGCUAGUGAAUCUGCCGGGCAGUGGGGGACAACGUUUCAAAUGGAACGCUAAUACUCGACAUACGUCCUACGGGUAGAAAGCAGGGGACCUUCGGGCCUUGCGCUAUAAUAUGAGCCUAGGUCGGAUAAUACUAUCUGGUGGGGUAAUGGCUCACCAUCGCGACGAUCCGUAACUGGUCUGAUGAGGAUGAUCGCCCACACGGGAACUGAGACUCGGCCCAGACUCCUACUGGAUGCAGCAUGGGGCGAAUAUUGGACCAUGGGCGAAAGCCUGAUCCAGCNUGCCGCGUGUGUGAAGAAGGUCUUCCGAUUGUAAACUACUUUAAGUUGGGAGGAACGGCAGCAAACUAAUACCUUGCUGUUUUGACGUUACAGACCCAAUAAGCACCGGUUAACUCUGUGCCAGCACCCUCGGUAAUACAGACGGUGCAAGCGCUAAUCGGAAUUACUGGGCGUAAAGCGUCGCGUACGUGGUUCGUUAGGUUGGAUGUGAAAGCCCCGGGCUCAACCUGGGAACUGCAUCCCCACUGGCGAGCUAUAGUANCGUAGAUGGUGGCGGAAUUUCCUGUGGAUCCCUGAAAUGCGUAGAUAUAGGAAGGAACACCGGACGCGAAGGCGACCACCUGGACUGAUACUGACACUGAUGUGCCAUCGCGUGGGGAGCNAACAGGAUUAGAUACCCUGGUAACUCACGCCCCAUACGAUGUCUACUAGNNNUUGGAAUCCUUGAGAUNUUACUGGCGCAUCUAACGCAUUACNAUGACCGCCUGGUGAGUACAGCCGCNAGGUUAGAACUCAGAUGUAUNGACUGGGGNCCGCACAAGCANUGCAGCAUGCUGUUUUANUUCNAAGUCACACUAACGANCUNACCAUGCCUAGNANCUGCAGAUACUGUCCAGAGAUGNAUGGUGCNUUCCGGACUCUGACACAGAGCUGCAUGGCUNANUCACUCCGUCUGNCAGUUAGUGAG
This 974-nucleotide ribosomal RNA is filed under the name Pseudomonas putida. RNAcentral describes it as "partial 16S ribosomal RNA". It matches the Rfam family "Bacterial small subunit ribosomal RNA", at positions 112 to 1081 of the family's 1533-position model. Lineage: Bacteria; Pseudomonadati; Pseudomonadota; Gammaproteobacteria; Pseudomonadales; Pseudomonadaceae. The record is from RNAcentral.